AACGAACGCUGGCGGCAGGCCUAACACAUGCAAGUCGAGCGAGCAUUUCGGUGCUAGCGGCGGACGGGUGAGUAACGCGUGGGAACGUGCCCUUUUCUGCGGAAUAGUCCUGGGAAACUGGGGGUAAUACCGCAUACGCCCUUUUGGGGAAAGAUUUAUCGGAGAAGGAUCGGCCCGCGUUGGAUUAGGUAGUUGGUGGGGUAAUGGCCCACCAAGCCGACGAUCCAUAGCUGGUUUGAGAGGAUGAUCAGCCACACUGGGACUGAGACACGGCCCAGACUCCUACGGAGGGCGGCAGGGGGGAAUUUUAAAAAAGGGGGGCAACCCUGAUCACCCCCGCCCGGGGGGGUGAGAAAGGCUUUGGGUUUGAAAAGCUCUUUCAGCUGGGAAAAAAAGGACGGAACCAGCAAAAAAAGCCCCGGCUACCUCCGG
RNAcentral lists this ribosomal RNA (432 nucleotides) under uncultured bacterium. Its description in RNAcentral is "partial 16S ribosomal RNA". It matches the Rfam family "Bacterial small subunit ribosomal RNA", at positions 29 to 506 of the family's 1533-position model. The record is from RNAcentral.